GACAGAGGGUGCAAACGUUGCUCGGAAUCACUGGGCGUAAAGGGCUUGUAGGCGGCCAACUAAGUCAGACGUGAAAUCCCUCGGCUUAACCGGGGAACUGCGUCUGAUACUGGAUGGCUAGAGAUUGGGAGAGGGAUGCGGAAUUCCAGGUGUAGCGGUGAAAUGCGUAGAUAUCUGGAGGAACACCGGUGGCGAAGGCGGCAUCCUGGACCAACACUGACGCUGAGGAGCGAAAGCCAGGGGAGCAAACGGG
This 253-nucleotide ribosomal RNA is filed under the name uncultured bacterium. Its description in RNAcentral is "partial 16S ribosomal RNA". It matches the Rfam family "Bacterial small subunit ribosomal RNA", at positions 524 to 776 of the family's 1533-position model. The record is from RNAcentral.